This 226-nucleotide unclassified non-coding RNA is filed under the name Hevea brasiliensis (rubber tree). The record is from RNAcentral. Lineage: Eukaryota; Viridiplantae; Streptophyta; Magnoliopsida; Malpighiales; Euphorbiaceae.
UACAUAUUAGACUUCUUGAGGAGCUACUUGGAAAUAUGUGUCAUUCUUCUUCCCAGGUGAGGGAAGCAAUAGGUGUGACUCUUUCUGUUGUUUGCUCAAACAUUAGACUUCAUGCAUCUCAUCCUCACGAUCAUUCAAAUGAAGAUGUUGAUGUUGAACUUAAAGAGGAAAGAUGGGUUAAGCUUUUAAUUGAACACGCAACUCAGGCAGUAAAGAAUAUUCACAA